UGCUAGUAUCUUUGAUAGUAUUUGCAAGUUUGCUGCAAUACAAGGCGACAUCAUCUUCAUUUUACUAAAUUCAGAAUGCUAUCUUAUGUAUUUGCAAAGAUGGCAUCAUAAUGAUGAAGUGCUGCAGAUACAGUACUGUUUUUCUUUCCUCAUGCAAACUGUUUAUGUUGUUUUAGUUUCUAAUCUUUUAAUUGAUUGAAAGAUGUUGCAACUGCAGGAUGGUGAUGUCAAAAUGGCAGAUGCCGCAACAGCAAAGACUGAAAAGAAGGCAGUAAUUUUCUUAACUAUGCGACUAUGAUGCUUUUUUCGACUCUAUAUUACAGAACCUUACAGUCAUAUGCUAAAUUGAUACAGGCUAAAACACCUGCAACUCCUGGUGCCCAGACUUCUGGUCAAAAACCCUAUUGUUGGCAAACUAUCCUAUUCUGUCAAAAGAGCUGAUGUGUAAGAUUUCUUCAAAGGUGCUGGUGAAGUAGUUGACGUCCGAUUUGCAUCAAAUGAAGAGGGUGUCUUCAAGGGAUUCGGCCAUGUUGAGUUUGCCACUGAGGCAGCAGCUCACAAGAGUUGUCUUGUUAUUCAAUCAUCUAAGUUUCAGGUGUCCGGUUACCAACUAAAUUGUUAUUCAAACUGCUUUGGAUUUCGUGCUCAUCCACGACAGCCUUUCUGCUUUUGCUACAUCACACACGGUAAGGGUCAUGCGUGCUGAAAUUGAUAUGGUUUUCUUGGUGCAUGCAUAUGCAGCCGCCUGGUUUUUGGUUGUUCCGUCACAUUGGCCUUUCUACUCACAACCGACUUCUACUAUGGCAGUGGUACAUGCUGUGAUCAAUCCUUCUAUCAGAUCUGCCAAAGUUUCUCUAAGAGGACUCUCCCAAGAACAGAGAUUUCCUGGGUGCAUUCUGGGACAAGGCAGCAUGUAAAAGAUUUCUGCAUUCAAAGUCAAGUGCCUGAGUCACAAGCAAAUUCCUCCCUUUAACCAAGAUGGAUGAUUAUUUAUGCAUCCACUAAUUAGGUGGCAUGAGGAUCUCAACGAGCAUACCAGAUGAAAAAGGACCGAAUCACCUGGAACAAGCCUCUUUGCACUUACACACUCCAUCCAGUUGCAAGAAGAUGUUGCUUGGGCUGACCUGCAUCAGAAAUGGAAUUAACAAAUGCCAAAUCCAGAAGUUUGUGAUUGGGGCUUGACAAAGAAGAAAAGUGGCAGUGAAACUGCACCCAAAAAGCCUCAAAUUGGAACACCGUCGCCAUUACCGACUUUUAAGGUUCAAAAAGAGAGAUUAGGAGACAGAAUCAUUCCACUCCAGCAACUGGUUUCACUUUUCGGAAAGGUUUUAACUACACCAUUCAUGAAAAAUGAUGUUCCCAUUCAACACCAGCAGAAUUCUGAUAAAUCAAAUGGCUCAGAUGGACCGAAACAAGAUCUUUGAAGCCACGGGCUGUGUGUAGUUCCAAUGACAAGCACCUUCUCAGUUACUAAUGAGAUUGGAGCUGAUUUUUCGACAUCUAUGUUUGGAGGAAUUUCACAGUUUUGAGGAACUGAUUGCUGCAAUUUAACCAAACCCAAUGACAUUUAGCAUAGAUUUAAUUAUUGCAUCAACGUUCUUCUUAAGAUUGCCUUUUAUAUGGAAUUGGGUAUCAUAUAUAGAAUUAUUUUUUUAUGGAGAUACAAAUUUUAUA
RNA transcript from Magnolia sinica, 1674 nucleotides. It is a transcript of the gene named transcription factor bHLH112-like, with no coding region annotated. NCBI's taxonomy places the organism in Eukaryota, Viridiplantae, Streptophyta, Magnoliopsida, Magnoliales, Magnoliaceae. The record is from RefSeq and is a predicted model, not a curated record. The transcript is spliced from 10 exons.